GGCGACGUGGCCGAGUGGCUAGGCACGGGUCUGCAAAACCCGCUACACCGGUUCAAUUCCGGUCGUCGCCUCCU
RNAcentral lists this transfer RNA (74 nucleotides) under Actinobacteria bacterium RBG_16_64_13. RNAcentral describes it as "tRNA-Cys". It matches the Rfam family "tRNA". From Rfam's summary of the family: Transfer RNA (tRNA) molecules are approximately 80 nucleotides in length. Their secondary structure includes four short double-helical elements and three loops (D, anti-codon, and T loops). Lineage: Bacteria; Bacillati; Actinomycetota. The record is from RNAcentral.